UACGGGGGGGGCAAGCGUUGUUCGGAAUUACUGGGCGUAAAGGGCUCGUAGGCGGCCAAUUAAGUCAGACGUGAAAUCCCUCGGCUUAACCGGGGAACUGCGUCUGAUACUGGAUGGCUUGAGAUUGGGAGAGGGAUGCGGAAUUCCAGGUGUAGCGGUGAAAUGCGUAGAUAUCUGGAGGAACACCGGUGGCGAAGGCGGCAUCCUGGACCAACACUGACGCUGAGGAGCGAAAGCCAGGGGAGCAAACGGG
This 253-nucleotide ribosomal RNA is filed under the name uncultured bacterium. RNAcentral's name for it is "partial 16S ribosomal RNA". It matches the Rfam family "Bacterial small subunit ribosomal RNA", at positions 524 to 776 of the family's 1533-position model. The record is from RNAcentral.